Denitrovibrio acetiphilus DSM 12809 is the source of this 89-nucleotide transfer RNA. It matches the Rfam family "tRNA". From Rfam's summary of the family: Transfer RNA (tRNA) molecules are approximately 80 nucleotides in length. Their secondary structure includes four short double-helical elements and three loops (D, anti-codon, and T loops). Further hydrogen bonds mediate the characteristic L-shaped molecular structure. tRNAs have two regions of fundamental functional importance: the anti-codon, which is responsible for specific mRNA codon recognition, and the 3' end, to which the tRNAs corresponding amino acid is attached (by aminoacyl-tRNA synthetases). tRNAs cope with the degeneracy of the genetic code in two manners: having more than one tRNA (with a specific anti-codon) for a particular amino acid; and 'wobble' base-pairing, i.e. permitting non-standard base-pairing at the 3rd anti-codon position. The record is from Rfam. Lineage: Bacteria; Pseudomonadati; Deferribacterota; Deferribacteres; Deferribacterales; Geovibrionaceae.
GGAGGAGUGUCCGAGUCUGGCUUAAGGAGGCGGUCUUGAAAACCGUUGAGCGUGCGAGCGUUCCGUGGGUUCGAAUCCUACCUCCUCCG